Molecule: ribosomal RNA, 443 nt
Filed under: uncultured bacterium
Lineage: Bacteria
Description: partial 16S ribosomal RNA
Rfam family: Bacterial small subunit ribosomal RNA
Source: RNAcentral
CCUACGGGUGGCAGCAGUGGGGAAUAUUGGGCAAUGGGCGCAAGCCUGACCCAGCAACGCCGCGUGAAGGAAGAAGGCUUUCGGGUUGUAAACUUCUUUUCUCAGGGACGAAGAAAGUGACGGUACCUGAGGAAUAAGCCACGGCUAACUACGUGCCAGCAGCCGCGGUAAUACGUAGGUGGCAAGCGUUAUCCGGAUGUAUUGGGUGUAAAGGGCGUGUAGGCGGGAGCGCAAGUCAGAUGUGAAAACUCAGGGCUCAACCCUGAGCCUGCAUUUGAAACUGUGUUUCUUGAGUACUGGAGAGGCAAUCGGAAUUCCGUGUGUAGCGGUGAAAUGCGUAGAGAUACGGAGGAACACCAGUGGCGAAGGCGGAUUGCUGGACAGUAACUGACGCUGAGGCGCGAAAGCGUGGGGAGCAAACAGGAUUAGAUACCCCUGUAGUC